AUACGUAGGGGGGCGCGCGUUGUCCGGAAUGACUGGGCGUAAAGGGCGUGUAGGCGGCGGUGUAAGUCUGGAGUGAAAGUCCCGCAUUCAAUGUGGGAAUUGCUUUGGAUACUGCAGUGCUAGAGUGCGGAAGAGGUAAGUGGAAUUCCCAGUGUAGCGGUGAAAUGCGUAGAGAUUGGGAGGAACACCAGUGGCGAAGGCGCAUUACUGGGCCGUAACUGACGCUGAGGCGCGAAAGCGUGGGGAGCGAACAGGAUUAGAUACCCUGGUAGUCCACGCGGUAAACGAUGAAUGCUAGGUGUUGCGGGUAUCGACCCCUGCAGUGCCGGAGUAAACACAAUAAGCAUACCGCCUGGGGAGUACGGCCGCAAGGUUGAAACUCAAAGGAAUUGACGGGG
Molecule: ribosomal RNA, 398 nt
Filed under: uncultured bacterium
Lineage: Bacteria
Description: partial 16S ribosomal RNA
Rfam family: Bacterial small subunit ribosomal RNA
Source: RNAcentral